This 253-nucleotide ribosomal RNA is filed under the name uncultured bacterium. RNAcentral describes it as "partial 16S ribosomal RNA". It matches the Rfam family "Bacterial small subunit ribosomal RNA", at positions 524 to 776 of the family's 1533-position model. The record is from RNAcentral.
UACGAAGGGGGCUAGCGUUGUUCGGAAUCACUGGGCGUAAAGCGCACGUAGGCGGAUGUGCCAGUCAGGGGUGAAAUCCCGGAGCUCAACUUCGGAACUGCCUCUGAUACAGCACGUCUUGAGUCCGGAAGAGGUGGGUGGAAUUCCUAGUGUAGAGGUGAAAUUCGUAGAUAUUGGGAAGAACACCGGUGGCGAAGGCGGCCCACUGGUCCGGUACUGACGCUGAGGUGCGAAAGCGUGGGGAGCAAACAGG